CCUCACCAUGAUUGUGGCACGGCUCAUAGUAUCUACUGGUUCUCAGCCACGAGACCCGCUACGACCAUGGUGCAAGUCGUGGCAGUUUCUUUUCCUGACCACGAAAGUGGUCAUGAUCGUGGCUAGGGGUGUACGAGAAGGCAUACAUGCGCACACUGCCUUGUACGUCACUCAGGGUAUAAGCAUGGAUAACCACCUGCAACUUCUCAUUGACCCUAGAAAACAUUUCUCUUUCACAUCCCAUUUUCUCCCAACUCCAUAUACUUGAGAUCAAUCCAAGGUAAGCUCAUACAUCCAUUUUGUUCCAUUCAAGCAUCGAAUAUCAAGUUCCAAUCCUUCCAAAACAUCAAUCCAAGAAAUGAGAAGAACAAGGUCUACCACAUCUAAAAGGAGAAGAGAAAUGGGAGAAACAAGUAGGCAACCUGAGAGAGAAAGUGUUGAGGCCUAAAAGGAAUUGAUUGAGCUACAAAUGGGAACCCGAAGAUUGGAAAUGAAUGUGACAACAUUAGCACGGUUUCACCACUUUAGAAGCAAACCGGUGGCUUGAUGGAAUUAUAUUGAUUCAUUUGUGUUGGGCUCCUUCGGAUGCCGAGAGGAGCUAGAGAGGCUUAUGAACCAACCAUUUUGGUUGGAAAUCUUUGAGUGGAAGAACAACACCUACGGGCCGGUGCUACAUGAGUUCAUUGCUAGUUUGGAGAUCACGGAACGGGCUAAGGACCUCACAAGUCUCACAAUAAAAUUUCAUGUCUUCAACACCGAGCACCACAUUUUAUUGGACACUUUGGGCAGAUUGUUGAGUUUUUACACCUGAGAGGAACAAGAAGAUGAGUGGUGUCAAAGCUUACCACUAGAUUUUGAGGAUGACAAAACCCCGCAAAACUAUUGGAGGAAGAUAUCACAAUUCGGAAUUAAAUGGCAAGGCUCAAUGGUGCAUGUGCAACGUAACACAUUCAUUAAUUUAUUAUAUUCACUGCAUUGUUCAUUGUCUUAUUUUUACACUAUAUUGUCUUGUAAAUAUCAAAGUUAUAAUAUCAAAUAAUGUUAUCUAUUUAUUUA
Long non-coding RNA from Ipomoea triloba (trilobed morning glory), 1056 nucleotides. RefSeq lists it as uncharacterized. The record is from RefSeq and is a predicted model, not a curated record. Lineage: Eukaryota; Viridiplantae; Streptophyta; Magnoliopsida; Solanales; Convolvulaceae. The transcript has 2 exons.